This 161-nucleotide unclassified non-coding RNA is filed under the name uncultured Podospora. Its description in RNAcentral is "sequence contains ITS1". The record is from RNAcentral. Lineage: Eukaryota; Fungi; Ascomycota; Sordariomycetes; Sordariales; Lasiosphaeriaceae.
CAGAGUUGCAAAACUCCCUUAAACCAUCGCGAACGUACCCGUACCGUUGCUUCGGUGGGCGGCUCCAGGGCGGAGCCGCAGCCUUCACAGGCGCCCGCCGGAGGACCUAUACCUAACUAUUUAUCUUAACUGGCCUCUCUGAGUAUUUUUAUAAUAAGUAA